GUGCUAUGUCCAGGUAGAUAGCUCAGUUGGUUAGAACAUGCUGCUGAUAACACCAUGGUCACAGAUUUGAUCCCUGUACUGCACA
Podarcis lilfordi (Lilford's wall lizard) is the source of this 85-nucleotide non-coding RNA. Lineage: Eukaryota; Metazoa; Chordata; Lepidosauria; Squamata; Lacertidae. The record is from the annotation of a GenBank genome assembly.